GCUGAUUUGGUGUGAGAGAAAAGUACUGUUGCAGUAGAACAGAGUGACUGUUGGGGCCCAUGCCGUUAGUGAUGUUCCAUGAUGUAAAACAACUUGGCCAACUUGUAGUUGCAGUUGUCUUUGUUGCCGGCCGGCUCAAGUCUCAAGCAAGAAGGCCGGUCAUCCAAGGUAACUUACCAAGCCAGCCAGUACUUAGUAGUACUAAUCAACAACGCGGCGGAGAAUAGAGUCCAGUCAAUGGAUGGCCGAACGGACGGCUCGGAUUCGUUUCUAGAACCCUUGACGAUCAAUCAAUCAAUCUCGACAACCUGGAUUAAUCCGUAGGAGGCAGGCGUACAUUGUAAAGACCACCGAUUCCUUGGCCACAAAGCUGAAGACAUUUCCGAGCACAAGAGAUAGAGGCUCCAUCCUCUUCGUCCAUCGGAAUCGGAGAAGAAGAAGAUAGCCACAGCCUACAGCUACAUAGAAUAGAAACAAGGAAGGAAUAAGCAAGGAUCCAUGGCGCAGCCGCCGGAGGGAGCGCUGAUCUACGCGAUGGUGGCGCGGGGCACGGUGGUGGUGGCGGAGCACACGUCCUACGCGGGCAACUUCCGGGACAUCGCCGCGCAGUGCCUGCACCGGCUGCCGGCGGGGAACAACCGCUUCACCUACACCUGCGACGCCCACACCUUCAACUUCCUCGUCGCCGAUGGAUACGCAUACUGCGUCGUGGCGACCGAGUCGGCUGGGCGGCAGAUUCCUAUGGCCUUCCUGGAGAUGAUCAAGGAGGAUUUCAACAAGAGAUACGCAGGGGGCAAAGCAGCUACAGCGACAGCAAACAGCCUCAGCCGAGAUUUCGGGCCGAGGCUUGGAGAUCAGAUGCAGUACUGUAGGGAUCACCCAGAGGAGGUGAGCAGGCUGUCCAGAGUGAAAGCUCAGGUGGAUCAAGUGAAAGGCAUCAUGAUGGAAAACAUUGACAAGGUCAUAGAUCGCGGGGAACAAAUCGAUGGGCUCGUCACGAGGACAGAGCAGCUGCAUGACCAGGCUGCUGAUUUCAGGCAGCAAGGCGUGCGGGUGCGUCGCAAGAUGUGGUACCAGAACAUGAAGAUCAAGCUCAUCGUUCUCGGCAUCGUCAUCGCGCUCAUCCUCAUCAUAAUCCUCUCAAUUUGCCAUGGCACAUGCAAGUGAUCCAUUUAGCUCAGAUGCAGUAGUAGCUGGUUAAUUAGAAUGUCAGUUUUGGAUUCGGGGUGAUCAUCACUUCACUGUACAGGAUCGAAUUGGGCUCAGCUCUUUAAUUUGUGGCCUUUUCCAAAUUAGCUAGGGCGAUAGAAUACGAUUUGUCAUCUGUCUCAAAAUCUAAACUUUCACAAAUUAUCU
Molecule: RNA transcript, 1356 nt
Organism: Panicum virgatum (switchgrass)
Lineage: Eukaryota; Viridiplantae; Streptophyta; Magnoliopsida; Poales; Poaceae
Gene name: vesicle-associated membrane protein 721-like
Exons: 5
Source: RefSeq, a predicted model, not a curated record